Molecule: non-coding RNA, 146 nt
Organism: Pelobates cultripes (western spadefoot toad)
Lineage: Eukaryota; Metazoa; Chordata; Amphibia; Anura; Pelobatidae
Source: the annotation of a GenBank genome assembly
CUCCCCCUGACCCCCACCCCUGAACGGUGGGCGGGGGCCCUAAAUUUAGCAUGAUCAGGGGUGGGGGCCAGGGGGAGGACAUUAGGUCCUCCCCAAUUAGUAUUUAGGGCCCCCACCCACCGCUCAGGGGUGGGGGCCAGGGGGAG